UACGUAGGUGGCAAGCGUUGUCCGGAAUUAUUGGGCGUAAAGCGCGCGCAGGCGGUCCUUUAAGUCUGAUGUGAAAGCCCACGGCUCAACCGUGGAGGGUCAUUGGAAACUGGGGGACUUGAGUGCAGAAGAGGAGAGCGGAAUUCCACGUGUAGCGGUGAAAUGCGUAGAGAUGUGGAGGAACACCAGUGGCGAAGGCGGCUCUCUGGUCUGUAACUGACGCUGAGGCGCGAAAGCGUGGGGAGCGAACAGG
This 253-nucleotide ribosomal RNA is filed under the name uncultured bacterium. RNAcentral describes it as "partial 16S ribosomal RNA". It matches the Rfam family "Bacterial small subunit ribosomal RNA", at positions 524 to 776 of the family's 1533-position model. The record is from RNAcentral.